CCCGGCCGACCGGCCGGCACGGGUGGAGUAACAACAUAUGCAACCUGGCCGUGACAGAUGGAUAACCGGGAGAAAUCCCGCCUAAUACAACAUAAUGCCGGGAGGGGACAUCCCCUGCCGGCCAAAGGGGGCGACCCCGGUCACGGAUGGGCAUGCGGCGCAUUGGGUAGUUGGUGGGGCAACGGCCCACCAAGCCGACGAUGCGUAGGGGUUCUGAGAGGAAGGUCCCCCACAUUGGAACUGAGACACGGUCCAAACUCCUACGGAAGGCAGCAG
This 276-nucleotide ribosomal RNA is filed under the name uncultured bacterium. RNAcentral's name for it is "partial 16S ribosomal RNA". It matches the Rfam family "Bacterial small subunit ribosomal RNA", at positions 82 to 354 of the family's 1533-position model. The record is from RNAcentral.